CAUUUCCACAAUAAUCUUAUUUUAAGUGCAUUGGAAAUGUGGUCCUCUAGAUAUUUAAUGUCAGUUCAUUAUCAGUGCUGUAGUUGUACUUGACCCUAUUAUAAUUGGAUUACAAUAUCUAUUUAAUAAAUCUAGGCUGAAAAUGAAAGAAAUUACCACAUAUUCUACCAGCUUUGUGCUUCUGCAGAUCGACCUGAGUUCAAGCACCUGAAAUUAGCUCCUGCAGAGAACUUCAGUUAUGUGAACAUGGGUGGGAAUACUGUGAUUGAUGGUAUUAACGACCAAACUGACUUCAUUGAAACACAAAAAACAUUUUCGCUAUUGGGCUUGAACAAAGACUUUCAGAUGGAUAUCUUCAAAGUGUUGGCAGGGAUUCUGCACCUGGGAAAUGUUGGAAUAAAAGCUGUGGGUGAUGACAAAUCCUCA
This is a non-coding RNA of Chiloscyllium plagiosum (whitespotted bambooshark), 426 nucleotides long. Lineage: Eukaryota; Metazoa; Chordata; Chondrichthyes; Orectolobiformes; Hemiscylliidae. The record is from RefSeq and is a predicted model, not a curated record.